UCACACACUACGUACAUUAUAUAAAAUCGAUUUACGAUUUAUGUUUGGUUAUAUUUAACUUUUGUGUAUACAAAACAUUAUAAAUAAGGUUGUGUGUGUUAUCAAAGUGGUAUUUAAUAUUGUGUGAUAUUAAAUUGUUAAUUUAAAUUGCAUAAAAUUUGUUAUUUCAAUUGAUUUUGGAACCGAAACUGCACCAAAUGAAACUGCACCGCACAGUUCAAAAUCGUACUGCACCAAUCACAAACGGUUUCAUGUGCGAUUUUGAAUUUAUCAAACCGCACCUAAACGAUUUUGUGUGUAGUUUGG
This 306-nucleotide long non-coding RNA is filed under the name Panax ginseng (ginseng). RNAcentral's name for it is "long non-coding RNA (PGIN_LNC001775)". Lineage: Eukaryota; Viridiplantae; Streptophyta; Magnoliopsida; Apiales; Araliaceae. The record is from RNAcentral.